AACCAUAGAAACCUGCGGAGUACCUGCGGAAGGAUCAUUACCAGAGUGCCAUAGGCUCUCCAACCCAUUGUGAACAUACCUAUCGUUCCCUCGGCGGGCUCAGCGCGCGGGGCCUCCGGGCUUCCGGGCGUCCGCCGGGGACAACCAAACCCUGAUUUACUACGUGUAUCUCUGAGGGGCGAAAGCCCGAAAACAAAAUAAAUCAAAACUUUCAACAACGGAUCUCAGAUCGGAAGAGCA
RNAcentral lists this unclassified non-coding RNA (240 nucleotides) under soil metagenome. Its description in RNAcentral is "partial contains 5.8S ribosomal RNA, internal transcribed spacer 2, and large subunit ribosomal RNA". The record is from RNAcentral.